GUACGAGCGCCUUUCCGUUUGCUUUUGACGAGGGAACCGCGAGCAGCCAAGGCGUGCGGCUGGCUCCUCGCCGCGAUCUCUCUCCGGUCGCCUUGAUCGUGCCGGCCAUGGCGGAAUCCGCCCAAUCCCGCGGCAUUGUCGUCGAAUUUGGAGGGUUUCCUCCUCCUACAAACGUGGGUGUGGAUUUGACCUUGCGACCUAGUGAUUCCAAAAACUGUUGAUGCCAUUGCCCAAGAGCUGAAACUUCUGGAUCUCGGUCAUGUCGCGGCAGGGUGCCGUAAUCUCGAUGUCAUUAUUCUCAAGGGACCAAUUGUCUGUUCCCAAUCAUAACCCCUCACUGUAUUUCAGGCGACUCGGGUUCUUCGGCAGUUAAACGGAAGUGCCCACCCUGCCAACAAGAUGACGGCGACGACGACCGCACCGGUUCAAACUCUCACAAUGGAAUCAGCUCAUGGAACAGCCUUUCCGAGGAUGUCGUGCAUCAUAUACAUGGCCUAAUGCCGCUGCGAGACGCAGCACGUGCUGCGUGCGUGUGUCGAUCAUUUCGACGUUCCUGGAGACACUAUCCUAACCUCACCUUCGGCAUGAAAGAACUGGGCUUGAUUGGAAAAGCAGCCACAGUGGACGAAGGAGCAAUGGAUCUUCUAAGCAGAACUGACCAUAUCUUUGGAAAUCAUUCAGGCAUCGGAGUGAAGACGCUUGAGCUUCACCUCCCCUGGAAGUGGAACAGACUCGACACCUCUUACGUCGACAGGUUCCUCAAGGCUGCCAUUGCACCCGGUAUCCAAGAACUCACCGUGAUGCUGCCCUUGUUCCGGCACUGCAGAACAGACUACAACUUCCCGUGCUCGCUUUUAUCAGGCGAGAGCGGGCGGUCAAUUCGGUAUCUUAAACUCACCAAUUCUAUUUUCCAUCCCACCGCCGGACUUGGUUGCCUGACGAGAUUGCAUCAGCGAUGACGAGUUGGGGUCCUUCCUUUCUGAUUCUUUGGCUUUGAGGCAUCUGCGACUCUCUUGUUGUGAUGAGAUCGUCUGCUUGAAGAUACCUUGCCUGCUGCGGCACCUCAGGUCCCUGGAGGUGUUUCAAUGUAAGAUGCUACAUGCAAUUGAGAGCAAUGCCCCAGAUAUCUCUAGUGUAGACCUUGGACUUGGCGACCAAGUGGAUUUCUCACUCUCACUGGGAGAUGGUUCAUCUCAAGUGAAGCAGCUCCGAAUAUCACCUGCAUCCCCAAGUUAUGCUCUCGGCAAGCUUCCAUCAAUUACACUCGCUCUUGAAGCCCUUAACAUAUCGUUGUUGCCACACGAGCAGGUGAGCACACCAAUGGUGCCUGGAAAAUUCCACCACCUCAAGUACUUGAAUAUUUCUCUUCCGCUGUCUCGGCAGCAGAUGAAUAUGAUUAUUUGUCUCUGUUAGCUUUUCUUGAUGCUUCUCCUGCCUUAGAGACUCUCGUCUUGAGGUCAGCGAGGAUUAUGAACUGUGUUAACAGAGGCUACGGUAGGAUUCACCGUGAUGUUUCACAUUUGGCGCGGGGGCAAGAAUUUCGCCAUGAUAGCCUCAAGAAUGUGACGAUCUAUAGUUUCUACUCUGCUAAGAGCAUGAUUGAGUUAACCUGUUGUAUGCUGAAGCACACGGCUUCACUUGAGUGCCUGACGCUGGACACCACCUAUGGUUACUCUAGGUGUUCCUCAUGCAGAAGCGGCAGGUGCUUCCCCAUGGACACGCGUGAUGUCCUACAAGCCAAGAAAGCGCUCGUGGCUAUAAGAAGAUACAUCAAGCCCGAAGUACCCUGUAAUGUCAACUUGAUUGUUGUGGAGCCUUGCAGUUCCUGUCAUGUGAGCGAUAACUGAUUCUAUACUUUUCUGUUUCAACUUAGAACUGCAUAUUUACAUGGUAUUAGAGAUACGGAAAAAAAAUGUCACUUGGCCAAGAUUUUCACAAGACAUGUUUGUUUUUAAA
This is an RNA transcript of Triticum aestivum (bread wheat), 1956 nucleotides long. RefSeq lists it as uncharacterized. The transcript is spliced from 5 exons. The record is from RefSeq and is a predicted model, not a curated record. NCBI's taxonomy places the organism in Eukaryota, Viridiplantae, Streptophyta, Magnoliopsida, Poales, Poaceae.